UCGAGCGAACGGACGAGAAGCUUGCUUCUCUGAUGUUAGCGGCGGACGGGUGAGUAACACGUGGAUAACCUACCUAUAAGACUGGGAUAACUUCGGGAAACCGGAGCUAAUACCGGAUAAUAUUUUGAACCGCAUGGUUCAAAAGUAAAAGACGGUCUUGCUGUCACUUAUAGAUGGAUCCGCGCUGCAUUAGCUAGUUGGUAAGGUAACGGCUUACCAAGGCAACGAUGCAUAGCCGACCUGAGAGGGUGAUCGGCCACACUGGAACUGAGACACGGUCCAGACUCCUACGGGAGGCAGCAGUAGGGAAUCUUCCGCAAUGGGCGAAAGCCUGACGGAGCAACGCCGCGUGAGUGAUGAAGGUCUUCGGAUCGUAAAACUCUGUUAUUAGGGAAGAACAUAUGUGUAAGUAUCUGUGCACAUCUUGACGGUACCUAGUCAGAAAGCCACGGCUAACUACGUGCCAGCAGCCGCGGUAAUACGUAGGUGGCAAGCGUUAUCCGGAAUUAUUGGGCGUAAAGCGCGCGUAGGCGGUUUUUUAAGUCUGAUGUGAAAGCCCACGGCUCAACCGUGGAGGGUCAUUGGAAACUGGAAAACUUGAGUGCAGAAGAGGAAAGUGGAAUUCCAUGUGUAGCGGUGAAAUGCGCAGAGAUAUGGAGGAACACCAGUGGCGAAGGCGACUUUCUGGUCUG
RNAcentral lists this ribosomal RNA (692 nucleotides) under uncultured Staphylococcus sp. RNAcentral's name for it is "bacterial SSU rRNA". It matches the Rfam family "Bacterial small subunit ribosomal RNA", at positions 62 to 736 of the family's 1533-position model. Lineage: Bacteria; Bacillati; Bacillota; Bacilli; Caryophanales; Staphylococcaceae. The record is from RNAcentral.